AGUGAACGCUGGCGGUAGGCCUAACACAUGCAAGUCGAACGGCAGCACAGUAAGAGCUUGCUCUUACGGGUGGCGAGUGGCGGACGGGUGAGGAAUACAUCGGAAUCUACUUUUUCGUGGGGGAUAACGUAGGGAAACUUACGCUAAUACCGCAUACGACCUACGGGUGAAAGCAGGGGAUCUUCGGACCUUGCGCGAUUGAAUGAGCCGAUGUCGGAUUAGCUAGUUGGCGGGGUAAAGGCCCACCAAGGCGACGAUCCGUAGCUGGUCUGAGAGGAUGAUCAGCCACACUGGAACUGAGACACGGUCCAGACUCCUACGGGAGGCAGCAGUGGGGAAUAUUGGGCAAUGGGCGCAAGCCUGAUCCAGCCAUACCGCGUGGGUGAAGAAGGCCUUCGGGUUGUAAAGCCCUUUUGUUGGGAAAGAAAAGCAGCAGGUUAAUACCCCGCUGUUUUGACGGUACCCAAAGAAUAAGCACCGGCUAACUUCGUG
This 492-nucleotide ribosomal RNA is filed under the name uncultured bacterium. RNAcentral describes it as "partial 16S ribosomal RNA". It matches the Rfam family "Bacterial small subunit ribosomal RNA", at positions 29 to 507 of the family's 1533-position model. The record is from RNAcentral.